This 274-nucleotide ribosomal RNA is filed under the name uncultured bacterium. RNAcentral's name for it is "partial 16S ribosomal RNA". It matches the Rfam family "Bacterial small subunit ribosomal RNA", at positions 523 to 796 of the family's 1533-position model. The record is from RNAcentral.
AUACGGAGGGUGCAAGCGUUACUCGGAAUCACUGGGCGUAAAGCGCGCGCAGGCGGCUAUUUAAGUUGGAUGUGAAAGCCUACGGCUCAACCGUAGAACUGCAUCCAAAACUAUUUAGCUAGAGUGUGGGAGAGGAAGUUGGAAUUAGUUGUGUAGGGGUAAAAUCCGUAGAGAUAACUAGGAAUACCAAAAGCGAAGGCAAUCUUCUGGAACACUACUGACGCUGAGGCGCGAAAGCGUGGGGAGCAAACGGGAUUAGAAACCCGAGUAGUCC